UUAGCUUGUAGCAUAUAAUCUUUUCCUUAUUUUGACAUGUUACUGCUUUCCUAGCCUUUUUAAAAGCCAUGCAAGCCGCUUCCUCCCUUCCUUUGUUCUCCAUUGCUUUUACCUAUUUAAGCUUUUAGCCAGAUCGGGUGUAGCUUAGACUGUGCAGUCCAGCUCCAGCCGAUGGAGACUGGACACAGUAGUAGAAACCUCAUAUGUUAGGGAUAGAAAGCCCUCCUCUCCUUUGUUCGGUGUGUUCUCGUGGCAACCAGGCUCACAAGCAGCAGAAGUAAAAAUUGCCUUGAUGAGAACUUCUUUGUUCAAGUGUUCAUUUUCUUCGUGACUCUGAACUUUUACUUCUAACAAUUCUGGGGGCUCAUCCAGGAUAUACCAUUCUCCUUCAGGGAAGGGGUCUUUGGUCACCUCCCAGGGAAGGUGCACCCCACUGCCUUGUUGCAGUGGCCUCAAGAUGGGAGACUGAGAUCCACCCAUUGUGAUGAAUAAAAACGUGGGGAAGGGAAAGGCUUGCAACACCGCAGCAACCAGGUAACUCUGUGAACAGAUGAAGGUUUCUUAACAGGAAAUCCACUUCUGAAAAGGGAACGCCUAUGUCUUGAUUUAAUUGACUGUCAUACAAAGGUCCAGCCAGAUUUAGUUAGAGACCGCCUUCAAAACAAGAUGGAGUUUCACUCUUGUUGCCCAGACUGGAGUGCAAUGGCACGAUCUCCACUCAUCACAUGCACCACCACGCCUGGCUGAGACAGGUUUCUCCAUGUUGGACAGGCUGUUCUCAAACUCCUGACCUCAAGUGAUCUGCCCACCUUGGCCUCCCAAAGUGCUGGGAUUACAGGCGUGAGUCACCACUCCUGACAAUUCCACAUUUCUUAAAACAUUCCUGUUGACAGCUUGGGCAGGUUACUUUGUAUGCAUUCACCCACGGAUGCCACUGGAGCCCCUUCCCACCUGCGCUGGGUGUGGGGCAGGUCCCCAGGUGGCAGGGUGCAUGCCACACAAGUCAGGGCAACAGCAGGGGCUGAGCCUCGCUCCGACUCCUGGUCUAGAGAGAGCACCUGGACAUUUUGAGAAAUAUUUUAACCUAGGAGGCACCCAAUGUGAGAAACAAACUCACCUAUCCAAAGCAAAGAAUGGACUCAGAGACCUGGAGAACAGUGAAAGUGAGGCUUUUAAUAACGAUCAGGUGUCUGAUGAGCAGGCACACCCAGCAGUUUCAGCAAUUUAUCCCCUAAGUGUGCAGGCCCCUCCUUCCUUUUAGGCUGAGUACUGUGGCAUUAGUCUUCUCAGACGUUGCUUGUUGUUAGGUAGGGACUUUAGGUGUUUUUUUUUUUUUGGUUGUUUUGCUGCAUUUUGUUGCAUUGAAAUCUUAGCUAAGGGGCUCUUCAAGUAUUUGACAACACCUGAGUAGCCAGGCCGGCUGUUAAGGACAGACAAAGCGAGCUAUUUUGCAGGCUAGUAAUUCAUUUUAGACUAAAUAAACUCUUUUGGUUCAGGUGAAGGCAACUAAGGAAAGUGGAAAGGGACGCAGGGAGAAGCCGACAAGCAGGCAUCAGCUAUCCUGAGGGUAGGCCUAGUACAUCGUUUGUUCCAUAGUUUGCUGACCUAAGAGGGUUCAAGGCAGUUUGUCUUGGAAAUGGACUACUGUGUACAUUAUUUUCUUCACCCGAGGAACAUCUUAAAG
Molecule: long non-coding RNA, 1684 nt
Organism: Callithrix jacchus (white-tufted-ear marmoset)
Lineage: Eukaryota; Metazoa; Chordata; Mammalia; Primates; Cebidae
Source: RefSeq, a predicted model, not a curated record